GGGGCGCUGUGCCCGGCCGUGCUCCCCAAGAUGGCGGCGGGCGGCGCCGCUCUGGCCGUGGUGGUGCUGCUGUCGGUGCUGUGGUGCUGGUGGCGGCGGGCGGGGCGCGCUGCGGGCCGGGUGUGUGUGGCGGUGCUGGGCGACCUGGGCCGCAGCCCGAGGAUGCAGUACCACGCGCUGUCGUUGGCCCGGCACGGCCGCCAAGUAUCGCUGCUGGGCUAUUUACAGACUCGGCCGCACCGCGACGUGCUGAGCAGCGGGGAGAUCCAGGUUGUGCCCGUGUCGGAGCUGCGGAGCUUGAGAGUUGGGCCGAAGCUGUUCCAGUACGUGGUGAAAGUCGUUGUACAGACCGUGCAGUUACUGCACACGAUGCUGAGGAUGGAGCCGCCUUCCUGUGUCCUCCUUCAGAAUCCUCCAGGUUUGCCCAGUAUAGCUGUUGCCUGGCUGGCUUGUCUUUUCUGGAGAAGCAAGCUGAUAAUAGAUUGGCACAAUUACGGAUACACCAUCAUGAGUCUGAAUCAUGGAAGGAAUCACCCAUUGGUGCUCAUCGCAAAAUGGUAUGAGAAGCUGUUUGGGCGAUUGUCUGACUAUAACCUGUGUGUCACUGAUGCCAUGAAGGAAGAUCUGUGGGUGAACUGCAACAUCCGAGCAGUAACGCUGUAUGAUAGGCCAGCUUCUUAUUUUAAGGAAACUCCAUUAGAGCUUCAGCAUCAGUUGUUCAUGAAACUUGCCCAAGACUAUGAGCCAUUUAAACCACAACAUGUUACAGAGUCUGUCAGUUGGAACGCUGAGAGGUCGGCCUUUACAGAAAGGGAUGAGAAGAGCGGGGAUGUGACAAGAAGCAGAGGACGGCCGGCUCUUCUCAUCAGCAGCACCAGCUGGACAGAGGAUGAAGACUUUUCAGUCCUUCUGAAGGCGUUAGAAGAUUAUGAGCAGUAUAUCAAUGAGGGAGUCAAGCUUCCAGCUUUAGUAUGUGUGAUAACAGGUAAAGGACCACUAAAGGAGUACUACAAUGGACUGAUACAGAAACUGCACUUUAAACAUAUCCAGAUCUGUACACCGUGGCUGGAAGCUGAGGAUUACCCAGUUUUGCUUGGCUCAGCAGACUUGGGUGUGUGUCUCCAUAAAUCAUCUAGUGGAUUGGAUUUACCUAUGAAGGUGGUAGAUAUGUUUGGCUGCUGCUUACCUGUGUGUGCAAUAUAUUUUGAAUGUUUACAUGAACUUGUGAAACACAAUGAAAAUGGGCUGAUAUUCAGGGAUUCAGAUGAACUUGCAGAACAACUGAAGAUCCUUUUCUUGGGAUUUCCCACAUUGGAAGGCAAACUCCAUGAGUUCAGGAAAAACCUUCGUGCAUCCAGGCAGCUGAGCUGGGAUGAGAGUUGGGACCAGACCGUUCUUCCUUUAUUUAACCAGACUGAAUGACUUUUGGGGGGAGUAUGGGGUCAAAAAAGCUAUCAUGUGUGCACCUCCAGGACUGUCUUCAAUGUUACUACAGGAGGAGGAAGUGAAUGUAUUUCUUCCUUUUCUUAAAGUAACUUCUAAAACAACAUCUAGAAAUGGAAGUCAAAAGAGGAGAAAAAUAAUACAUUCGGUUCUGCUUCAGGAUUAAUGGUGGCUAAUGAAUGACGUGAAGGUCCAAAGCAGGAUAGUCACGUUGGGCUGCGUAUCAUGGAGAAAAAUCCUAUUGCUGUGGGUUGGAAUAAUCUGCCAUCUGAUCCCGGCUUUAUCUGCAAAGGGAAACACUGAGAAUCGUA
RNA transcript from Coturnix japonica (Japanese quail), 1754 nucleotides. It is a transcript of the gene named ALG1 chitobiosyldiphosphodolichol beta-mannosyltransferase, with no coding region annotated. The record is from RefSeq and is a predicted model, not a curated record. Lineage: Eukaryota; Metazoa; Chordata; Aves; Galliformes; Phasianidae.